RNAcentral lists this ribosomal RNA (468 nucleotides) under uncultured bacterium. Its description in RNAcentral is "partial 16S ribosomal RNA". It matches the Rfam family "Bacterial small subunit ribosomal RNA", at positions 28 to 507 of the family's 1533-position model. The record is from RNAcentral.
GACGAACGCUGGCGGCGUGCUUAACACAUGCAAGUCGAACGGUGAAGCUCCAGCUUGCUGGAGUGGAUCAGUGGCGAACGGGUGAGUAACACGUGAGCAACCUGCCCCAGACUCUGGAAUAAGCGCUGGAAACGGCGUCUAAUACUGGAUACGAGAUCAAGCCGCAUGGUUAUGGUCUGGAAAGUUUUUCGGGUUGGGAUGGGCUCGCGGCCUAUCAGCUUGUUGGUGAGGUAAUGGCUCACCAAGGCGACGACGGGUAGCCGGCCUGAGAGGGCGACCGGCCACACUGGGACUGAGACACGGCCCAGACUCCUACGGGAGGCAGCAGUGGGGAAUAUUGCACAAUGGGCGAAAGCCUGAUGCAGCGACGCCGCGUGAGGGAUGACGGCCUUCGGGUUGUAAACCUCUUUCAGCAGGGAAGAAGCGAAAGUGACGGUACCUGCAGAAGAAGCACCGGCUAACUACGUG